GGUGUAUUAGCUGAAUUAUCUUUUUGUUUUGAUAGUCUUUAGUCAAUAACGGAUUUUUAAAUUGUUAUGAGUUUACAACACUUAAGUUCAGCGAAAUUCAAUUAAAAAGUCAUGUCAUAGUCAAGUCAUAGAAGACAGAAAAAUAACAACAUCUGUUUUCAAUAACUUGGUUUUCAUAGCAAAUCUGACAGACUGUUUACUCUUGUCCCAAUCUAACCUAGUGAGUUCAAAAAGAAAGAACUGUGCUGGAAACAUGAACGGGUUGAAAGGAUCAGCCUUUUAAUAGCCGAAGUCGUAACCAACAUAUAAAAGAUGUAUAAAAUGCUUCCUUAUUUAUAUUGAGUAAAAAGAGUUUUUUUUCUGGCCAUCUGAAAGAGCUCUUUGACAUACUUGAAGAGCUAUUAUCGUUUUCAUUUGAUAAAAACAGUAUUUCAUAUAUGAAAAGUAUGAACACUAUAGUGUAUAGGAUACGAUAGUAUACUAAUAAGUAUGACAAAAAAGUCGUUCCGACCCCGAGCAAAAAAACCUUUUCAAAAAUGCAUAAUUUGCAGGGAACGGCAUGGUAAAAAAAAAUAUCAUUUGGUGUGUGUAUUUAAUAUAUAUUGAUAUUAUUAUAUACUGAGUUUCAUAGUUUUUACUUGAUGCUUUGUAAGCAUUUCUAUGUUUUUUUUUGUCG
Hydra vulgaris (swiftwater hydra) is the source of this 676-nucleotide long non-coding RNA. RefSeq lists it as uncharacterized. NCBI's taxonomy places the organism in Eukaryota, Metazoa, Cnidaria, Hydrozoa, Anthoathecata, Hydridae. The record is from RefSeq and is a predicted model, not a curated record.